RNAcentral lists this ribosomal RNA (305 nucleotides) under uncultured bacterium. Its description in RNAcentral is "partial 16S ribosomal RNA". It matches the Rfam family "Bacterial small subunit ribosomal RNA", at positions 508 to 807 of the family's 1533-position model. The record is from RNAcentral.
ACAGCAGUAGCCGCGGUAAUACGGAGGGAGCUAGCGUUGUUCGGAAUUACUGGGCGUAAAGCGCGCGUAGGCGGUUACUCAAGUCAGAGGUGAAAGCCCGGGGCUCAACCCCGGAACUGCCUUUGAAACUAGGUGACUAGAAUCUUGGAGAGGUCAGUGGAAUUCCGAGUGUAGAGGUGAAAUUCGUAGAUAUUCGGAAGAACACCAGUGGCGAAGGCGACUGACUGGACAAGUAUUGACGCUGAGGUGCGAAAGCGUGGGGAGCAAACAGGAUUAGAUACCCCUGUAGUCCCUGUCUCUUAUAC